RNAcentral lists this ribosomal RNA (494 nucleotides) under uncultured bacterium. RNAcentral's name for it is "partial 16S ribosomal RNA". It matches the Rfam family "Bacterial small subunit ribosomal RNA", at positions 28 to 507 of the family's 1533-position model. The record is from RNAcentral.
GACGAACGCUGGCGGCGUGCUUAACACAUGCAAGUCGAACGGAAAGGCCUGCUUUCCCUUGUGGAUUGCGGGUACUCGAGUGGCGAACGGGUGAGUAACACGUGAGUGAUCUGCCCCCAACUUGGGUAUAAGCCUGGGAAACUGGGUCUAAUUCCCGAUAGGACUGCAGGGUGGUGCCUGUGGUGGAAAACGAUUUUCUAGUGGUUGGGGAUGAGCUCGCGGCCUAUCAGCUUGUUGGUGGGGUAAUGGCCUACCAAGGCGGCGACGGGUAGCCGGCCUGAGAGGGUGGACGGCCACAUUGGGACUGAGAUACGGCCCAGACUCCUACGGGAGGCAGCAGUGGGGAAUAGUGCACAAUGGGCGGAGGCCUGAUGCAGCGACGCCGCGUGGGGGAUGACGGCCUUCGGGUUGUAAACUCCUUUCGACCGCGAGGAAGCCACCUGGUUGGAAGGGUGGUGACGGUAGUGGUAGAAGAAGCACCGGCUAACUACGUG